AUGCCCAGCAGCCACGCCGGGGCAGUGGGGUCGUGGGCCCGCCUUGGUUGUGAGCCGGACGAGCCCUCUGACUUCCUCACCCUACGGUGGGGACUUUGGACAUCUUCACAGGGUGUUGUGAACGUCCGGGGGGCCGGGGGCCAGCUCUGGACUCUGUGGCUGAGGGGUGGGGACUGUCAGACCCCAGGACCCCGGGGCACCCGGGAGGAGCCAGCCCAGCUUCCGCUGCGUGCCUCUUCGGUGGCCCCAGCCUUCCUCUCUGGCGCUUGGGGUCAGGCCGCCUGGGGUGUGAGACCCCUGCUGCUGCUCGGGCCUCAGCCCUUCUCCCAGGGGCUGGGCUUCCCCCGCCGCCUCCCCCGCCGGAGCCUGACCGCAGGACCCUUGCGCUGGUGCGCCCCGGGAGCCUGGCCGCCUUCCAGAGGGCCCUGGAGGAGCCGCUGUGGCCCGGCCCCAUUCCUUCCUCCUCGCUCGCCUCCCUGGGACCCUGAGGCUGCACCCACUUCACCUCUGUUUAUUAUUGUUUUAAAAAGUACUUCUUUCCCACAAUUCUCCUACACUGGAAGGAGUUUUUACUUGGACUCUUAAAAUAUAUUUACUACUGGCCCAGGGUCAGGUGGCUGAUGGAUUCACACGGCAAGUGGGAUCCUGAGUCAGUGGGAAUCCGGCCUUUCGGGGCGUUUACACACACCCCUCCGGGCUUGGGAGGCGGCGACAGCUCCCGGGGAGGCGGCGGGGCCGGCUGAGCCGCAGCCCACGGCCCAUCUGCUCCGAAGCGUCUGGGAGCCGACAGGCGCGCCUGCACGCGGGCCCCGGGCAUGUGGUGACGGCAUGUUCAGACCAGACUGUCACGGAGCUGACAGCCCAGAAACACACCCGUACGGAGACGAGACGGGAGUUUGUUGUUCUCUCCCAGAGAAGAAACUCGGCAGCAGGUGGCCUGGUGUGGCGUUCGGGAACGUGGGGUCUGGCUUGCGCUAGCCUGCUGCUCCCUCUUCCUCCAUCACCGCGUGGGUGUCACCUUAAGGUCCUGAGUGGCUUAGGGGCACCAGACAUUCAAAGUCUGGGCACACGUGGCUGGGACUUUGUGUGCCUGGAGCCGGCCCCCGGGCACCCUUUUCGGAUCAUGGUCCUUCCUCCAUGCGCCCUGGCCCCCGGAUGUAUGGCCUGGGGCCUGGGUCGGAUGCUCCCAGCAGGCAGCUGGGGGUUAGCAGGGAGGAAGCACUUGGGGCUAGGACGGGAAGUGGAUUGGCAUAUCACCCCAUCUUCCCCCUGGGGGGGGGGCAUUUAUCAACAGCCUCCCACCUCCCUGGAGCUUUGCAUGAUUUCCUGGCAUCUCGGAGGGCUGCAGGAUCGUCCCAUUCCAGGGGUACAGAAAUUGAGGCCCCGAGAGCCCGUGGAAUCUUGUGACUGGCCAGGAGAGCUCCACGACUGGCAGGGUGGGUGCAGGGGGCAGGAGGGAGACCCUUUCCCGAGGGGAAGCAGAGAGGGCCCAGCGGCCCCCCGAGGGCGCCCAGCACCGGGCCCCUUCCUGGCCUCACCUGCUUCAGCCGCCUUCUGCGCGCAGGGCCCGCAAGUGUGUUCCCGCGGAGCAGAUUCAACGUGAGCGGCACCAGCAUCCCCGUUCAGAGGCCGGGCUGUCCCCAGGGAGAGGAGGGGCCCCCAGUGGGUCCCACAGGAAGCCGGUCCCGUCACUGCCCCGCGGAUGUGCAUUCCAGAGGCCCCUUGGAGUCCGGCCUUGGAGCUUCCAGGCCCGCGGCCCGCUACGUGACGGCCCGCGUGUGCACACGCCCGGCUGCGUGUGGGUGUUGGGUGUGCGCCGGCCCGGAGUGCAGGGGCAGCAGCGUGUGGACUCGUCAUUGGAACAGAGCAGCAGGCAGGGCCGGGGCCUCCCGGUGCGGCGAUGAGGGUGCCGUCCCCUGUGCCGCGCAGAGCCACUGCCGUCUGCGGCGCCCCCUCCCUCAGAGUCCCGGCGGCCCGGGCUCGGGGGGCCCCGGCGUGGGAGACGGGCUCCGGUCCCCAGGAAAGCCUGUCACCCAGCCACCCGACUUUCAGCGGCUGGGAUUGUUUUCAGACUCGGGCUUUAGGGCUCCGACAGGUUACGGCAAAUUAAUCCAGCGGGACAAAUCUGCCUGCCUUUUCUCUCCUGAGGACGAUGAGGAUUCUGUCUCUGGGGAAAUAAAAACCAACACUGGGAGAACUGUAGAAUGUGCUGGACUUCACCUGGAAUGUUUCUUCUUCUUCUUCUUCUUCUUCUUCUUUUUUUUUUUUAAGAUUUUAUUUAUUUAUUCACGAGAGACCCAGAGAGAGAGGCAGAGACGCAGGCAGAGGGAGAAGCAGGCUCCCUGUGCGGACCCCGAUGCAGGACUUGAUCCCCGGACCCCGGGGUCACGCCCUGAGCCGGAGGCAGACGCUUCACUGUUGGAGCCCCCCAGGAGCCCCUGCCCCCUCCCCCCGCCCCCAUUUGACUUCUGAACAGUUAAUGAGGUGAGUCAUCUGAGUGGUGGAUUUGGGGAUUUGACCACACCCAAACUUCUCAUUCUCCCAGAAAUGCCUGUGCCCCAGCAGCCUCUGCCUCCCUGAGCCUUUCCUGUGCAAACAGAUCAGCCCCAGGCCCCGGAGGCUGGGGAGGUCACACCCUCCUGGCUACUCCUGGGGGGUCAGUGGAAGUGAAUGCCCCUUGAUGUCAUCCUUCCCCUCCCUCCCCCCCAGGCCAGCCGCCUAGGCCUGCCCACACCUGCAGCCUCAGCAGACAUCCCCGUGUGGUGGCUGGACUGUGGUCUCUGCCGCCGCAUGCCCGCCAGCACCCCCAGGGCCUCUGAGCCCGCCCAGCACUGCCCGCCAGCUGGGAGCUUCUCCACAGAUGCACUAUAGCCUGCCUAGGGCCUUACUGCCCUUAGCUUGCCGGUCGUGGGGUCCCCCCAAACCUACCAUCUCCACAGUGGUGACAGGAUCUGCCCAAUGUCUGUGACUCCUGCUUAGACCAGGCAUUGGAGGAACCUGGGUAGGCAGUGUGUGUGCACGCAUGUGUGCAUGCGUGCAUGUGCAGUGUGCACGUGUGCAUGUAUGUGCUGUGUGCAGACACAUGAAUGUGCACGUGUGUGUUUCUCAUUAAUCCCCAAAUAUACAUUAUUGUAUUUGACCCGAUUUUGAUCAUUUUUUGCAGCACUAUUUUGUUGAGACCCAAUUGUUUGGGGCUGUCAGUUAUAAUUUGCACAUCCGUGACAUUUCCUGAGCUGGUGUUCCCUGGCUGGUCAGUUUGGGAAACAUUGGCAUAGACCAAACUUUGAGGAGCUCAAAAUAUGAUUUUGACAAUCUCCCUGUCAUCCCUGACGCCCACACUUCCCCUAAACCUGAGAACAUUUGAUCUGGAGGAUUCUGAAUGUCUUUUUGGGGGAUUCUCUCCACAUCCAGUGGGGGGGGGCAGAAACCAGGCCGGAAGACCCUGGAGCUGUGUGAGCAGGACAGGAGGGAAACACAGGGCGGCCUGUGUGGGGUGAACCUGCGUACGUUCUGGUCCUGCUUCUGCAUGUUGGGGUCAGAUUCACGGGGCGGGCCCCACGUACACUUUGUAAACCUCGGGCCUUUCCCCUGACUCACGGGGAGUGAGCCUGAGUGCUGUCAGAGUCGUGCGGCAGUCUGAUUUGAAUAGUGUUGUAGAGAUGUGUCACUUACACGGUUAGAUUCAUGUCACGGGCAAUUGUUAUUGAACAGACCGCAGUAACCUGACCUUCAGUUGGAAAAGCCGCAUCCAUGCCCAUCCCCUCUCUUUCUGUAAAUGGGCACUUUCCUACCCCAAAGAGCAUGUGAGGAUCACGCAGGCUGACGUGUGCAAAGCUUUGGCACAGCAGAGCCAAGAAGGGUUCAUAGGCUGAAUUGCGUCCCCUCCAAAUUCGUAUGCUGGUGUCCUGACCCCCAGACUCUCAGAAUGUGGCUCUAUCGUCUUUACAGAGGUGAUUAAGCUAAAACGAGGUCACUGGGGAGGGCCUCAAUCCGAUCUGGCUGGCGUGUCCUUACAAGAAGAGAUCGGGACACAGAUGUGCACAGAGGGAGACCAUGUGAAGACACAGGGGAAAGACGGCGUCCACACACCCAGGAGAGGGGCCUCAGGAGGAGCCAGCCCUGCCCACGCCUGGACCUCGGACCUCCAGCCUCCAGCCUCUGGCCCCGAGAGGGAAUAUGUUUCUCUUGUUUAAGACGCCCGGCCUGUGGUGCUUUGUUGUGGCUUUGUUGCGGCAGCCCCAGGACAUUGGUACAGCAGGUGCUCAGCAAGUAUGAGUUGCUACCAGUAGGCUUUCUCCAGCGUUGAAUUAUGGCACUCUAUUUCUUGAGGACACCUGAGACACAUUUCUACGUGCUUGGAACUUCACCUAUGCAUAUUUAAAAAUGUAUUUUAGGAAGAGAAAUGUUAGCACAUUUUGCUGCUAGUGAGAAAUCCAGCGGCAUCUGUUUUAAAAAUACUUGUGUGGUUCCGUUCCUUGGAGCUGGACAUCACUGGUCCUGGCCGUCACUCCAGGGUGGGGGGGGUGGGCUCAGCAGACCCCUGGUGAGUUCCAGGGGUCAGAGUUUCAGUGUCCGGUAACGCCACAGGGUCCUGUGUGUGACUGGUUAGCCUGUUUGGUGUCAGAAUUAACCCAGUGCCUUUGUCAGCGGAUUUUACUUGCUGUGUCUAAGAGUCACUUACCAAGCCCCGCCCUCUAUGCCCAGGCCUGCUCCCGCUGCAGAGCAUGGGUGACACAGGUUUGGGGGCCUUAACAGCAAGGGCGGACAAGGGGCCUUGUUCUCUCCUGCCAGUACAUGUGGCCCAGCGGCUGCUGCCUUUGUCUGUGAGCCUGUGAUGUCCACGUGGCCUGGUCACUUAGGUCCCCUGGCCCAGGGACCCCUAGAGAAACCGUAUGCCUUUUCCAUCAGCUGUUGAGUGGAAAAAGGGGGGUUCCCUGCUCCCGGGAGCAGUGAAGGGGAGGCUCUGGCCAUGCAGGUCCAUGAGGAGAGUCUGCAAUAGGCAUCUGAGUACUUGUGAGUCCUCCUACCCUCACCCUCUGAGUGGGGCCCCGUCCCCUCUGCGGAGCCCCGCCCCCUCCACGGAGCCCUGCCCUCUGUGCCCAGCCCUGCUCCCCUGCAGAGCCUCAUCCCCUCUACGAGGCCCCGCCCCUUUGCCAAGCCCCGCCCUCUGUACAGAGCCCUGCCCCCUGCACACAGUGC
RNAcentral lists this long non-coding RNA (5199 nucleotides) under Canis lupus familiaris (dog). Its description in RNAcentral is "lncRNA (ENSCAFG00030019495.1)". Lineage: Eukaryota; Metazoa; Chordata; Mammalia; Carnivora; Canidae. The record is from RNAcentral.